CCUACGGGAGGCAGCAGUGGGGAAUUUUGGACAAUGGGCGCAAGCCUGAUCCAGCAAUGCCGCGUGAGUGAAGAAGGCCUUCGGGUUGUAAAGCUCUUUUGUCAGGGAAGAAACGGUGAGUUCUAAUACAGCUUGCUAAUGACGGUACCUGAAGAAUAAGCGCCGGCUAACUACGUGCCAGCAGCCGCGGUAAUACGUAGGGUGCAAGCGUUAAUCGGAAUUACUGGGCGUAAAGCGUGCGCAGGCGGUUUUGUAAGUUUGUCGUGAAAUCCCCGGGCUCAACCUGGGAAUGGCGAUGAAGACUGCAAGGCUAGAGUUUGGCAGAGGGGGGUAGAAUUCCACGUGUAGCAGUGAAAUGCGUAGAUAUGUGGAGGAACACCGAUGGCGAAGGCAGCCCCCUGGGUCAAAACUGACGCUCAUGCACGAAACGCGUGGGGAGCAAACAGGAUUAGAUACCCUGGUAGUCAAACGCCCUAAACGAUGUCUACUAGUUGUCGGGUCUUAAUUGACUUGGUAACGCAGCUAACGCGUGAAGUAGACCGCCUGGGGAUACGGUCGCAAGNUUAAAACUCAAAGGAAUUGACGG
Molecule: ribosomal RNA, 586 nt
Filed under: uncultured bacterium
Lineage: Bacteria
Description: bacterial SSU rRNA
Rfam family: Bacterial small subunit ribosomal RNA
Source: RNAcentral